Molecule: non-coding RNA, 424 nt
Organism: Xyrichtys novacula (pearly razorfish)
Lineage: Eukaryota; Metazoa; Chordata; Actinopteri; Labriformes; Labridae
Source: the annotation of a GenBank genome assembly
GGUUGUUAAAGUUUACAAUGAAUGUAAUUUUAGUAACAUUAAACAUUAUUGAGUAGUUAUAUGACACUGCAGACAUGCACUGGGCCUGGCAUGUUUGUCCAUAGAGAUAAAAAAAAAUCAAAACUUGAAACUAUAAAUUUUCCUUUAUAGGAUGUAUACGCUGAGAAGCAGAAAAGUCCAAAAACAGGAUGACUGGCCUAGGAGGAAAAAGGUUUGUCAAAGUCUUUGUUACUGACAAAAAUUGAAGUACAUUUUCAGAGCUUACUCAAGUUGUUCUGAUGUAAUGGGCUCCAGUUAGGUUGUGAUUUUAGCAAUCUAACAAACACACUUGUCAUUCAUCCUAAUCUUAGAAGGGCAGACAAUCAGCUGUGGCUGAAACAUCUGAGGCUGAGAUCUCCAGGACCACAGAGGAGCCUCCUGAGGG